Small nuclear RNA from Copidosoma floridanum, 198 nucleotides. The record is from RefSeq and is a predicted model, not a curated record. Lineage: Eukaryota; Metazoa; Arthropoda; Insecta; Hymenoptera; Encyrtidae.
GUACCUGUCCAUGACAGGAAGUCUUAAAUUAAAUAUACGUCUGAUAUGUUCUUAUCAGCUUGAUAUCUGAUACGUCCGCCAUUGGGGGACCAGAAUAUCGAACUGAUUUUUGAAAACAGGUGGGACGUCUGGGGCUUGCUCCGGUCCUGCCACGGGUCGGCCAUGCAUUGCAGUACCGCAAGGAUCGGCCCACACAAU